Molecule: long non-coding RNA, 2239 nt
Organism: Esox lucius (northern pike)
Lineage: Eukaryota; Metazoa; Chordata; Actinopteri; Esociformes; Esocidae
Source: Ensembl
ACCAUGGGGAAACAAAUGAACUCAAGAUGCUUCCUCAACUGGUCCAGUCCAGUAUUAGGCCUGAGCAGAGGUUACAGCCUGGUCCAUCUCCUGCUCCCACCGCAAAGGAAUGUGAGAAGAUCAAGAACAUGUUGAAGAACAUCGGGCUUAACAUGGGCACAACGGAGAUCAGCAAUAUGAUGGUCAAGCUGCAGCAAAAGAAGGAGGGGGUGAUGCCAGAGCAGAAGAAUGAGGAGACGCAGCCUGCACUAGCACCUCCUAUUGUACUUGUGUCACAGGAGCCAAAAAUUGACUCGCCAGGAGUUGGAGCAGCACCAAUCCGACAAGCACUAGAGUCAUUACAGUCCAUUAUUAAAGCGAAAAGGGAGAAAAAGGCAGAGAGUAAUCCAAAUGAUGGCAACCAUUCCCAGAGGAAUUCAGACAAACAAAAGAACAAAGAUGACAAGGAGAGUCAAAAGUCAAAACAGGACCAUAUGAAAAGAAAAGAGACUCUUUUGAGGGAACUAGCGGAAUUGCUAAAGCAGGAUGGGUCUGCCUUUCUAAUUCCGGUCAUUGGGUUCUACUGCCAGAGGUGUGAGGAGUUCUUUGGAGACCUGAGCACUGCUGAGUGCCACUCGGCAGCUCACAGGCGGAAUGAGCCUAGCAUGCAGAAGCAUGGAGACAGGAGGCCUGGAGACAGGAGGCCUGGAGAGGACAGAAAACACCCUAGACCGCAUCAAAGCAGACACCCCCUGCCCUCGGAUUGGAGAGACCAGCAAGACCCAAGAGAUCUGAGGCACCUUGAGUACCAUAGGGAUGUUAGGCACCCUGACCUGAAACGACAACAGGAUGAGUGCCCCAAGGGCUACAGGAACGACAGGGAGAAGAUGUAUGUGAAAGAGGAACAACCUGAAAGCCCCAGGUUUACGAAUGUCCUCGGGCACACCCCACCAGGACUACAUAAGGGCAGGGGGCGAGCGGAGGAGGGGAGGGUGGAGAAGGGUUACGGUGCUGCGUUCUCUGCCCCUGCAAGUGGAACACAUGGCAGGGUCAAGUUGGAGGAGGUGGAGACCAGGAUAAAGCCCAUUGGUGGAGUAUGUGACGAAAUGGACAAAGAUGAAGAUAACAGAGAGAGCAGUUCCGGCAGUGAUGAAGAGAAAGGCAAAUCUCCUAAAGGCCACAAAAAGAAGAAGAAGAAAGAGAAAAAGAAAAAGAAGAAGAAGGAAAAGGAUGGAAAAAAGAAAAAAGAAAAAGAUGAGAAAAAAAAAGAUAAGGAUGACAAAACAUCUUAGUUGCUGUACUGCAUGUCUUGGUUGAUGGUUUCUGUGAAGGACCUACUUUUAGGUCAUCGUUCAUUGCAGUUGUUUUCUGACGUUGAAGCUUUUAAAAUGUGUUAAAUUGUUCCUUUGACCUGUGUUUUGGAGUUGUCUUUUUCAAAAAACUGUCUCCGUUGUAGAGGAUAACAGCACAUUCAUUAUAUGCUGUUCCAUGUGUAAAUUUAGCAGGUAUAAUGUCCAGAAUUGUUUUGCUGCAAGCUGCUGAUCCCAUUCUUCUAACCUUUAGUUUCUUAAUCUUUACGGCACAAUACUCUUAUAUUGGGUCAAGGACAUGUUUGUGUGUACAGUGCCCUCUGUGAGUAUUGGGACAGUAAUGCAUUUUUUAUUAUUUUUGUCUCUUUACUCAUUGAGUAUGAAAUUGAUAUCAAACAAUUGCUAUAAAAUUAAAGUAUAGAUUCUCUGCUUUUAUUUUGGGCUGUUUGUGUACAUAUUGUUUCACCAUUUUUAUGUGACAGCAGUUUGGAACAUACCAACGUAUCAAAAUGAAUUGGUACAGAUUACAAGAAGGCACGUUGUUGUUGGUUUUGAGGUAUUUUUGCAGUUAAGUGUCAUUGUCAGCUAAUUACAGAUGGAUUUAUUUCUAGAGAUUGAUUGGGUCACUAAUUGGCCCUUUAAACUCUCUGUAAAUAGGAGUUAUAUAAUAUGAGAGGCAUUUGCUUGUAGUUUAGCAGGCAAGCUGUUUCUAUUCAAAUUCAUAUGGCCACUUCUGGACAGAUGUUACAUUAGUAAAGCCUCAUGGUCUGUCCACAAUACAAUUUUGCAGAACUCUGCAUGCUCUAAUGUACUUUUUGCAAACUGUAACCUGGCUAUCCUGUUUUUAGGGCUAACUAGUGGUUUGCAUCUUCCAGUCUAGCCUGUGUGUUGCUGAUUUUACUAUUCUGCCUCUUGGUGAAAUGUUAUACCUCUUGGUUUAGUGUUCUGCC